This 481-nucleotide ribosomal RNA is filed under the name uncultured bacterium. Its description in RNAcentral is "partial 16S ribosomal RNA". It matches the Rfam family "Bacterial small subunit ribosomal RNA", at positions 30 to 507 of the family's 1533-position model. The record is from RNAcentral.
AUUGAACGCUGGCGGCAUGCCUUACACAUGCAAGUCGAACGGUAACGGGCCUUCGGGUGCCGACGAGUGGCGAACGGGUGAGUAAUACAUCGGAACGUGCCCGAUCGUGGGGGAUAACGAGGCGAAAGCUUUGCUAUACCCCAUUAGGAUUUACGAUGAAAGGAGGGGGCCGGCAGGCCUUGCGCGGGCCGGGCGGGCGAUGGCCGAUUAGGUAGUUGGUGGGGUAAAAGCUUACCAAGCCGACGAUCUGUAGCUGGGCUGAGAGGAUGAUCAGCCACACUGGGACUGAGACACGGCCCAGACUCCUACGGGAGGCAGCAGUGGGGAAUUUUGGACAAUGGGCGCAAGCCUGAUCCAGCCAUGCCGCGUGCAGGAUGAAGGCCUUCGGGUUGUAAACUGCUUUUGUACGGAACGAAAAGCCUUCUUUUAAUACAGGAGGGUCAUGACGGUACCGUAAGAAUAAGCACCGGCUAACUACGUG